UAGAAAUGUGGUUUUAAAAUGAUGAAAUGUCAGUUAUUUUAUGAAGCAACCUUGGACAGAUGUGCUACAAAGUUUAAGGCGUAUUAAAAGGUUGGUAACGCGCAGAAAUAUUUGAACAUCAAAUGACAAGUGACAUUGUAAUCAUUGCAUGCUCCAGUUAAUUGAAUUAUGUGAAUCCAAUCCUAAUUUGUGGGAUUGCUCGUCCAAAAAGCUAUGGAUGAAAUUUCCAAUAAGUUAGGAGUUCCGACUCAAGAAGUGAAGAAACGAAAAACACACUAAAAGCGACCCGACAACAGGAGAAAUUUUAAACUUUAUGGAUUCUUUAUGGACCGACAUGAAAUGAAACGAUAAUGGAUUUAUUGUUUUAGGCAAAGGAGCAACCAGAAUUUUGAAAUUUUAGCAAGAACCAGAUACUCAAAAAAUGAGUAAAAUUCCAGAAAGAUGAGUAGAAUUAAGAUAAGCUAACUGAGAAGACUAGAUACUGGUAGAUACUGGUGGGCUAUUAUUAGAAUAUGCAGAAGGUUAUUGUUGGCAGAAGAUAAAAUUAGAUAUUACUCAUAGAAAACUAAUUUCUGCUUACCACAAAACUACUUACUGUUUGUAAAAGUCUAGAUACUGUUGGCAAAAGACUAGAAACUAUUGGUACAUGACUAGAUACUGCUUGCUAUUAACUACAGAAGGCUACAUAUUGCUGGCAGAAGACUAGAUACAACAGCUAAUUAGGAAUUAGAUGUUAUCUGAUGAAAACUACUUACACAAGACUAAAUUGAUAUCAAUCUGAUUUUGAUGUUCAAAAACGACACAGUACAACCUUAUCAAAUUAAUAGAGUGUUUGAAGUUCUGAAACAGCAUAUUGAACACCACGUUCUGGCUUUGUGGUUGGGGGCUCGCUUUACAGGGGCAAUAUUAUAGGCAAAAUUUACACAAACAACCCCAAAACCAUCGUUGUGUUCAAAACUAUGCGCCAUUUACGAGAUUAUCGAAACUUCAAUAAUUUUUGUAAAAUUUUGAUGCAUUAUGGACCAAUUUUUGCAAAGCAGAAUUAACGGCAUUACGUACUUGGUUAAUGUAAAUGAUUUUUGGUCACUCAUCUCCUUAGACCUAAAGUAGCUGUAAAGAAUAUGAAUGUCAAGUCUGUUCAAGUAAUUUGGAAUACUUUUUCGACCAAAAAUCAAACUUAAUAACUUCUUUGAACAUUUUAUCCUAUCGUGGUUAUUAUGACCACAUAGAGUUGAAGCUUUGAUUGGACUUGAUACUUAAUUGAAUUCAAAAAGUUGCCCAACUGAACAUGGGAAGUUCUGAUCAUGUUAGUUUGGCACUUAAUUACUUAGAGCCAAAAUGUGCCCGAAAAAGAUGUCCGAAAAUUAUCUGAGGAUUGAUCAGACAAGCUACACAGAUUGAUAGAAAACUAAAUAUUUCUUGCAGAAAACUACUUACUGCUUGUGAAAGACUACUUACUACUACCAGAAGACUGACUGUCUUAUACGUCAACUACAACAUGCAGAACUCGUUUUCUUCAACACUCUCUCUUCAUUCGUUCCAAACAUUACAUUAAUAUAAUUAAUUAAUAGUCGCA
This 1576-nucleotide long non-coding RNA is filed under the name Onthophagus taurus. RNAcentral's name for it is "uncharacterized LOC111417771, transcript variant X2". The record is from RNAcentral. Lineage: Eukaryota; Metazoa; Arthropoda; Insecta; Coleoptera; Scarabaeidae.